This 99-nucleotide ribosomal RNA is filed under the name Streptococcus suis. RNAcentral describes it as "partial 23S ribosomal RNA". It matches the Rfam family "Bacterial large subunit ribosomal RNA", at positions 2827 to 2925 of the family's 2925-position model. Lineage: Bacteria; Bacillati; Bacillota; Bacilli; Lactobacillales; Streptococcaceae. The record is from RNAcentral.
AGUAAGAGCCCUGAGAGAUGAUCAGGUAGAUAGGUUGGAAGUGGAAGUGUGGCGACACAUGUAGCGGACCAAUACUAAUCGCUCGAGGACUUAUCCAAA